UAGUCGGAGGUGUGUCUCGGACGGUCGGUUCGCCGCUUGUCGGUGCUCAACUGGCCGGUCCGGACGUCCUGCCGGUGGGGCCCCUCGCGGCCCCGUCAUCCUUCUUUGGUCCUCUUCACCGAGUGCCUUGGUGGGCCGGCACGUUUACUUUGAACAAAUUAGAGUGCUCAAAGCAGGCCGUUGGUCGCCUGAAUACUGUGUGCAUGGAAUAAUGGAAUAGGACCUCGGUUCCAUUUUGUUGGUUUUCGGGACUCGAGGUAAUGAUUAAUAGGGACGGACGGGGGCAUUCGUAUUGCGACGUUAGAGGUGAAAUUCUUGGAUCGUCGCAAGACGAACCGAUGCGAAAGCAUUUGCCAAGAACGUUUUCGUUGAUCAAGAACGAAAGUUAGAGGUUCGAAGGCGAUCAGAUACCGCCCUAGUUCUAACCAUAAACGAUGCCAGCUAGCCAUCCGCCGAAGUUCCUUCUAUGACUCGGCGGGCAGCUUCCGGGAAACCAAAGCUCUUGGGUUCCGGGGGAAGUAU
Molecule: ribosomal RNA, 522 nt
Filed under: Aciagrion borneense
Lineage: Eukaryota; Metazoa; Arthropoda; Insecta; Odonata; Coenagrionidae
Description: SSU rRNA
Rfam family: Eukaryotic small subunit ribosomal RNA
Source: RNAcentral